This 279-nucleotide ribosomal RNA is filed under the name uncultured bacterium. RNAcentral's name for it is "partial 16S ribosomal RNA". It matches the Rfam family "Bacterial small subunit ribosomal RNA", at positions 28 to 302 of the family's 1533-position model. The record is from RNAcentral.
GACGAACGCUGACGGUGUGCUUUAGACAUGCAAGUCGAGCGAGAAAGCCCUUCGGGGUUAGUAAAGCGGCGAACGGGUGAGUAACACGUGGGCAAUCUGCCCCUCGCAGGGGGACAACCGGGGGAAACUCCGGCUAAUACCCCGUAAGCUAUGUGGAUCGCAUGGUUCACAUAGGAAAGGUAGCUUCGGCCAUCCGGCGAGGGAUGAGCCCGCGGUACAUUAGCUAGUUGGUGGGGUAACGGCCACCAAGGCGGCGAUGUAUAGCUGGUCUGAGAGAUG